Molecule: small RNA, 762 nt
Filed under: Pongo abelii (Sumatran orangutan)
Lineage: Eukaryota; Metazoa; Chordata; Mammalia; Primates; Hominidae
Description: processed transcript
Source: RNAcentral
UUCGUCGCCGUCAAGCCAUACCAACCCCAAGUGGACGGCGAGAUCCCCCUUCACCGUGGCGACAGGGUCAAAGUUCUGAGCAUCGGCGAAGGGGGCUUCUGGGAAGGCAGCGCCCGCGGCCACAUCGGAUGGUUUCCGGCGGAGUGCGUGGAGGAGGUCCAGUGUAAGCCCAGGGACAGCCAGGCAGAAACCCGCGCUGACCGCAGCAAGAAGCUUUUCAGGCACUACACCGUGGGCUCCUAUGACAGCUUCGACACUUCCAGUGACUGCAUUAUUGAGGAGAAGACGGUGGUCCUGCAGAAAAAAGACAAUGAGGGCUUUGGAUUCGUGCUUCGAGGGGCCAAAGCUGACACACCCAUUGAAGAAUUCACACCAACACCGGCGUUCCCAGCCCUACAGUACCUGGAGUCCGUGGAUGAAGGUGGGGUGGCGUGGCAAGCCGGACUAAGGACUGGGGACUUCUUGAUUGAGAUGUUUCUCUCAGAUUUCCUAGAAUCGAAGUAUUCAUAUUUUGAAAAGUAUCCAUUUCAUACAUAGGAAAGUGUGUCUUAGAAGAAAGUUAUCUCACAGAGGAGACAAAUGUCCAGCCCCGUUGGCACAGAUAGUGCUGUUUGCUGUCAGAGGAAAAAGCCUUCCUGGGCAUCAAUUAAUUUCCCGGGGCCAUUCCUUACCUGCCUGCUGCAGGGCUCUGACGACGCCUAUGGUUUUUGUGAUUGUUUUCUUGGCCCUGAAGUGGCCAAUCUCAUUUUUGUGUUAAUUUCU